RNAcentral lists this ribosomal RNA (467 nucleotides) under uncultured bacterium. RNAcentral's name for it is "partial 16S ribosomal RNA". It matches the Rfam family "Bacterial small subunit ribosomal RNA", at positions 28 to 507 of the family's 1533-position model. The record is from RNAcentral.
GACGAACGCUGGCGGCGUGCUUAACACAUGCAAGUCGAACGGAAAGGCCUCUUUCGGGGGGUACUCGAGUGGCGAACGGGUGAGUAACACGUGAGUAACCUGCCCUUGACUUUGGGAUAACUUCAGGAAACUGGGGCUAAUACCGGAUAGGUGCUCCUGCUGCAUGGUGGGGGUUGGAAAGUUUCGGCGGUUGGGGAUGGACUCGCGGCCUAUCAGCUUGUUGGUGGGGUAGUGGCUUACCAAGGGUUUGACGGGUAGCCGGCCUGAGAGGGUGACCGGCCACAUUGGGACUGAGAUACGGCCCAGACUCCUACGGGAGGCAGCAGUGGGGAAUAUUGCACAAUGGGUGGAAGCCUGAUGCAGCAACGCCGUGUGCGGGAUGACGGCCUUCGGGUUGUAAACCGCUUUCGCUCAUGACGAAGCUUUGUGUGACGGUAGUGGGUAAAGAAGCACCGGCUAACUACGUG